Megalobrama amblycephala (Wuchang bream) is the source of this 4118-nucleotide long non-coding RNA. RefSeq lists it as uncharacterized. The record is from RefSeq and is a predicted model, not a curated record. The transcript is spliced from 4 exons. Lineage: Eukaryota; Metazoa; Chordata; Actinopteri; Cypriniformes; Xenocyprididae.
UCACAUUUACAUUGUACCUUUAACGUCUGGAUGUGCACAACCAAAUCAUCAGACUAGAUCGUCGGACCACAAGAUGUGCCCGAGGUCCAUCUCUAUAAUCCUGCACCUGCUGUCAGAGAGAGGGUCCUGUCCUCUUUGGUCUAGCCCCUCUGCAUGCUCCAGAUCACCACAUGGCUCAUGCUCCUUAACAGGGUUCCUAUGAAGGUCAUCUAAGGCACAAUAAAGAAAGAAUGGGAAAAGCAGCAGCACUUUCCUGUGCACGCGGAUCUCAGAGGUGUUUUCGUGUGUACUUCCCACUUUGAUGCCAGGGAGAUCCUUGCUGAGGAUGACUAUGGCGGCCAUUUUGAAUCCCUGGCGCACACCUGUGUUGUUUACAUUCUGCUGCAGUUGAACGUGACAUAUCGAGACUUCACACAGGCCACCCACACGGAAGAGCCUUCUUCCUGGAAUCCCUCCAAAUCCCUGUCCAAACCCUCAUGUCUAUGAGGUAAACACACUGAUUACUGCAUUCAGCUCUCAUCACCUGGAUCAUUCCCCUUUUGCCCCCGAGAGAGUGCCAUUUCGGUCACAUACUGCAGCAAUUUUUCGGUGUCACUGAAGUUGCUCUUUUCCUGCUGAUCACAGAGUAUUCGGGCAAUUUCUCUUCUGAUGGUUCAUGCGGGUUUAUGUUUGGAUAAUAGAAGCUGGACAUUGUGAAAAGGAAGCCAGCAUGGAGUUUACCUUUCUCAAUCAAGAUGCACACCUUUGAAUCUCCUUCUGGAUCGACAGAUGAUUUUCAGGAGCGCAGAGAGAGGACAGAUUAAUGUGCAUAUAAUGAGGGAACAUUCAAGGGCUGUGGAGCAUUAGCAGAUUGUGGUGGACGGGAAUUGGAUAGAUUAUGGACUGUGUGCUUAUGUAAAAUCCCUCAGGACACCUUUAUUAAGAUUUGCAGCUCACAUCUCACAGAGGUCAAAUGGCGCAUUAUGGGUAAAUCACCAGUUUGAUUGACCUGGAAUGUGUGGAAAUUGAAGACACCUUGAGGACUGACCGCGCGCGCGUGUGUGUUGCAUACUGACGGCAGUGUUAUCUCCCCUGUCCAGGUGCAGUUUUAGGCGCUCAGUGAAAGAUUAUGGAGUGAAAUGUAAAAUGAACAUACCACAUUUCACCUACUUGCCUUAACUCUCUGGCCAGAGUAGCGGUUCGCCAGUGAGAGCUGGUAAACUAAUACUACCACAGAGUCUGUCACCCUGACCUGAACCUGAGUUUCAACUUUUCUGGGCAGUAAAAUUUUGGAAGAUUUACUGUGGACUGGCCUGUCCCUCAAGCUUACGUCCCACCUCUCUUACUCUCCAGUAAUCAGGAGGCAACUUGAGGCAGAUCUGCACAAUGGUCCAUUUGUAGUAGAUCUGGGCCUCUUAACUGAAGAAAUUUGACAGAUAAGGAACUGUUUCAUGCAGUACUUGGUCGUGUACGUGUAUGUUAACUGGUACAUUAAUCAGAUGACUGUUCGGUUCAGCUGCCUUUUCAGUAUCUAAUGUUAUUUAAACAUGACCAUUAAAUCUAUAUAUCCAGAACAGUAAAUCUGUGAGUGGUGUUUCCAGAAUUUCAUGACCUCUGCAUAAACAACAUUAUUUUGUGUAACACCAACUAAAUGCAAUUAAAUUUAUUGAAAUGAAUUAAAUUUUUAAUAGUCACACUAUACCCUUGUGAAAAAGAAGUUUGCUUAAAUGCAUUGAAUGCAGACAAGUAUUUUUAAGCAUAUUUAAAAAAAAAAAAAAAUUUGCAGAUCAUAUAAUAAUGAAAUAAAAGGCCAACUUAAGAUAUAUAGCCAGGAAAGUGUACCACUGGCGUAACUUUGUUUUAAAAAGUGGGUGGGACAAAGGGUUUGGGGUGGGGUGGUGGGUGGUUUGUGAAGAUCGUACAUCAGAAAUGUACAAUAAUAAAUGCACAAUUGUCAUAGAAUUCAUGUUUAAUAUGAUAGUUUCAUCCUUACAUCUACUAUAAUACAAUAUAUUUUUAGUCUCGAGACUAUAGUGAAAAAAAAUUUGUAGAUUUGCAUUAGGUAGUAUUAGUCCUAAUGGACUAGAGGUGGAAUUUUCGUUAAGCAUGUCAGAGGUUCUGGGUUCUAAACCUUGUGUGUUUAUUUCCUACUUCUUCCUCAAUAAAACCAAGAUGUUCAUCAGUGAUUGUAUAUCAAGAGCAGGGACGGAUACGUUUAUGUGCAUUUUGUUUUGUGAUUUCACAGGAACGAAUAGAGAGUCUCUGCAUUGGCGUUAAGCGAUAUAUUGAAGCGCUGUGUGUGAAGUCCAGAAAAUACUGUUGCACCACUGAUAACUGAGGCAACGAGCAUCAAGAGAACACUGUUGCGCCACUGAUAGUGGCAACGAUGACUCAUGAUUUAAAAAAACAACACACCCCAGUGCCAAAUCGAAAACAAACUAAUUGCUAAUCAACUAGAGACUAGGCGCAAAUUACGUCUAUGGCCAAGCGUCCUGCUACCAGGAUGCUUGUUAACAGGCUAUAUGUGUUAAAGAGAGUACAUUUCAUAGGCGUAAUUGCGGGUGGGACAUGUCCCCACCACUUUUUGAAACAUCUGACGACACAGAUAUAUCUAAUACAAAAGAAACAUCUUCAGUUGGUUAGCAAUUUGUUCGUUCUAUUUGGCACAGGGAUGUGUUGUUUUUGAAAUCAUGCCGCUGCUCUUGAUAUACAAUCACUGAUGAACAUCUUGGUUUUAAUAAGGAAGAAAAAGAAAAAAAAAAAAAAACACACAAGGGCAGAUUAGAACCCAGAACCUCUGACACGCUUAACGAAAAUUCUAUCACUAGCCCAUUAGGACUAAUACCAGCGUUGCCAAGUCUGCGGUUUUCCCGUGAAAUUGGGCUACUUUAACACUGUUGCAGCGGGUAGUUUUUCUUGUCCUCGUGUUAAAUCGACCCAAAAUAACAUGAUAUUUAGCCCCUGGAAUGCGAAUUUUACCAAGGGAGCCCCACCAAAAACACAAAUUUUACCCCCAGGAACACGAUUUUUACCGUGGGACCCCCCUGAAAUGCAAUUGGGCUAGUUUUGAGGAGCAAUAAUGCAAAUCUACACAUUUUUUCACUAUAGUCUCGAGACUAACAAUAUAUUGUAUUAUAGUAGAUGUAAGGAUGAAAUUCCAUUAAAUAAAUUCCAUCCAAUAAAUUCCAUCCAAUAAAUUCCAUUAUUUUGUAAAAAAAAAAAAAUAUAUAUAUAUUUCACUCAUUUUUGUGUGAAAUAAAAAAUGAUUAGUUCAGUAGAUUUGCUUUACAGUAAACCUGAAAUCCUUUAACUUUUUUUUACAUGUGAGGGUGACAGUACACUUUUAAAAAGUGAACUUUGUAAUAGUCAGCUUAAAGGUUUUACAUUAAGUUUUAAAUCAUUUUAAUAACCUUUUUUCAUUCUUUAAAGUACUUAUUUUGUGUUGACUAACAUACUACAGCAAAUUUUAUAGUGCUUGAAUUUAACUGUAGUGUGUUAUACAAUAAUAUAUUUAAAUAGUUUUAAACUAUGCAACUUCAUUACAAAUGUGUAAUUACAAAUAUAUUUAAAUAUGUCACAUACAAGUUUCAUUAGAAAUUACAUUCAAGUAUUUUUAGUUUACCGUUAAUGCUUGUCAGUAAUACACUUCUACCAUUAUUUCAAAGACAAUAGAAGUAAUUAUGAAAUUACACAUAAAGAUUAAGUCCCUAUUAGGCAGGUCAAAAAAACACUCUAAAACUCAGCUAGUUGUAUUUAAUACAAAUUUAAACUGUAACACAUCUUUUCCAUAUCUAUAACAUGAAAACAGUACAUUCAGUUCACACUUUCUUUUAAAAGUAUAUUAUUUCUGUAAUAAAUAUUCUAUUUUUUAAAAAUGUUCUUUUUCACAACACUGUAAAACAUGAUAGGUUAUUUGAACUUAUUUCUUCUCUUUAACUCCAACUGUCAUGACAAGUUUUGGAUUUUAAACUCAAGUUUAUAUGUUUUCAGAAGUUAAACUUAAAAUAAUCCAUUGUCUUGACUAUUAGUGAGUUGGUUAUCUUCAUGGUUAGUUGAGUUUACUCUCAUUUUCAAAGCAGCAUUUCUAGGUUUAAGCACCUGGAAAUGUUUUACAGUGAAGGGUAAUAGUGUUUUUACAA